AAAUGGAAACAAAGACCACUCCGUUCCAUUAUCUAUUGAAUAAUCUGGUUUAUUGUGAUGAGAACAUUGUCAGAUAAUUAAUAGGGGGCCAUUAACCUCCAAUUGGAAGCGUGAUGACAGGAUCAAGUGGAUAACAAAGGAAUCACAGGUGGAGCCCUACAAAGUUGAUUAAAAGGUUCCAUUUUGCUGGUUCGGUCGUCUUCCACCGAAGAAACUCAAUUUUGAAAACAGUAAGUGCUGACUGAAGCAAAGAUAACCCCAAGACCUCCUAAUCAAUAACCUCACUAUCUAAACCGAGAAUGAACAGCAUAAGAAAGAAAAGAAUAGACCAAAGUUGUGGCACUGGAAGCCUAAGCAAAGCCUCUGGGU
This is a long non-coding RNA of Cimex lectularius (bed bug), 369 nucleotides long. RefSeq lists it as uncharacterized. NCBI's taxonomy places the organism in Eukaryota, Metazoa, Arthropoda, Insecta, Hemiptera, Cimicidae. The transcript is spliced from 3 exons. The record is from RefSeq and is a predicted model, not a curated record.